UCAGUAGCGCGGUGGUCCCACCUGACCCCAUGCCGAACUCAGAAGUGAAACGCCGUAGCGCCGAUGGUAGUGUGGGGUCUCCCCAUGCGAGAGUAGGGAACUGCCAGGC
This 109-nucleotide ribosomal RNA is filed under the name Salmonella enterica subsp. enterica serovar Enteritidis. The record is from RNAcentral. Lineage: Bacteria; Pseudomonadati; Pseudomonadota; Gammaproteobacteria; Enterobacterales; Enterobacteriaceae.